UGAGAAGAGAGCCACUGCUGCUGAGUG
RNAcentral lists this unclassified non-coding RNA (27 nucleotides) under Mus musculus (house mouse). RNAcentral's name for it is "oocyte_clustered_small_RNA9956". Lineage: Eukaryota; Metazoa; Chordata; Mammalia; Rodentia; Muridae. The record is from RNAcentral.